RNAcentral lists this non-coding RNA (45 nucleotides) under Schistosoma mansoni. Lineage: Eukaryota; Metazoa; Platyhelminthes; Trematoda; Strigeidida; Schistosomatidae. The record is from RNAcentral.
AUCCAUCUGAUGAGUCCAAAAUAGGGCAUAAUGAGCAUCUUGGAU